UUCUGCUCCAUGGUUUUGCUAAAUAGCCGCAGUACCCUGACUGUGCAAAGGUAGCAUAAUCAGUUGGCUCCUAAUUAGAGUCUGGAAUGAACGAAUAUAUGGGUAGUAACUGUCUUAAUACAUUGUUGUGAAAUUUGUAAGUAAGUGCAAAUACUUACUUAACUAAAAAAGACGAGAAGACCCUAGAAGCUUGGAGAUGGUUUUGUUGGGGCGACAGAAUUGCACUUAACCAAUUUUAAUGUAACAUGAAGUUUUGCUGUAAGAAUAAGCUACUCUAGGGAUAACAGCAUAAUUUUUACAGUUUGUGACCUCGAUGUUGGACUAGGUAUGUCACUCUUUAGAAGAAAGUGGCAUCUGCUCUGUUCGAGCAAGAAUACCUACGUGAUCUGAGUUCAGACCGGA
This 402-nucleotide ribosomal RNA is filed under the name Levantina hierosolyma. RNAcentral's name for it is "partial 16S ribosomal RNA". It matches the Rfam family "Bacterial large subunit ribosomal RNA", at positions 1857 to 2620 of the family's 2925-position model. Lineage: Eukaryota; Metazoa; Mollusca; Gastropoda; Stylommatophora; Helicidae. The record is from RNAcentral.